UGGGGAAUAUUGGACAAUGGGCGCAAGCCUGAUCCAGCCAUGCCGCGUGAGUGAUGAAGGCCUUAGGGUUGUAAAGCUCUUUCGCCGGCGAAGAUAAUGACGGUAACCGGAGAAGAAGCCCCGGCUAACUUCGUGCCAGCAGCCGCGGUAAUACGAAGGGGGCUAGCGUUGCUCGGAAUCACUGGGCGUAAAGCGCACGUAGGCGGAUCGUUAAGUCAGGGGUGAAAUCCUGGAGCUCAACUCCAGAACUGCCCUUGAUACUGGCGAUCUCGAGUUCGAGAGAGGUUGGUGGAACUCCGAGUGUAGAGGUGAAAUUCGUAGAUAUUCGGAAGAACACCAGUGGCGAAGGCGGCCAACUGGCUCGAUACUGACGCUGAGGUGCGAAAGCGUGGGGAGCAAAACAGGAUUAGAUACCCUGGUAGUCCACGCCGUAAAACGAUGGAUGCUAGCCGUUGGGGGGUUUACCUCUCAGUGGCGCAGCUAACGCCUUAAGCAUCCCGCCUGGGGAGUACGGUCGCAAGAUUAAAACUCAAAUGAA
This 538-nucleotide ribosomal RNA is filed under the name uncultured bacterium. RNAcentral describes it as "partial 16S ribosomal RNA". It matches the Rfam family "Bacterial small subunit ribosomal RNA", at positions 355 to 909 of the family's 1533-position model. The record is from RNAcentral.